CCAGUGAACAUUAAACGGCCGCGGUACCCUAACCGUGCAAAGGUAGCAUAAUCAUUUGUCUACUAAUUAUAGACCUGUAUGAAUGGCAAAAUGAGGGUCUGACUGUCUCUUAUAAUAAAUCAAUUAAACUGAUCCCCUAGUAAAAAAGCUAGAAUACACACAUAAGACCAGAAGACCCUGUGAAGCUUAAACUAAACUAUUAAAUCAACUAAUAGCUACUUUCGGUUGGGGCGACCUUGGAAAAAAAAAGAACUUCCAAAUAUAUGACCUACCUCAAUACCACGCAGGCCAACAAGCCAAAAACGACCCAGCACAGCUGAUAAAUGAACCAAGUUACUCCAGGGAUAACAGCGCAAUCUUCUUCA
This 365-nucleotide ribosomal RNA is filed under the name Dipsadoboa riparia. RNAcentral describes it as "Dipsadoboa sp. OM-2023a partial large subunit ribosomal RNA". It matches the Rfam family "Bacterial large subunit ribosomal RNA", at positions 1909 to 2494 of the family's 2925-position model. Lineage: Eukaryota; Metazoa; Chordata; Lepidosauria; Squamata; Colubridae. The record is from RNAcentral.